ACAAAUAAUCAGAGAAUUUCCACAUGUGUGAUUGUUGUUGAUCUUCUUGGUUUGCUGUUUGCUUCUUAGCUGGGCGACUUUAAGAAGCCAUUUCUCUCUGGAUUGCACUGGUGAAGGGAAGGUACUGAAAGGUCAGAUUGGCUUAACUGAGAAACAACCUGAGUGAAGCGGAUCUUCUCAGCCUCCUAGGGAAAGUUCUCUAGUCGAGUGUCGGAAUGUCUAAGCUAUUGUCCCCACAGUGGCAGGUCACGGGUUGUGUGAUUCUGCAUAAUUUACUGCAUCAUCAUCAUGAACUUG
RNAcentral lists this long non-coding RNA (297 nucleotides) under Ictidomys tridecemlineatus (thirteen-lined ground squirrel). Its description in RNAcentral is "lncRNA (ENSSTOG00000032235.1)". Lineage: Eukaryota; Metazoa; Chordata; Mammalia; Rodentia; Sciuridae. The record is from RNAcentral.